RNAcentral lists this unclassified non-coding RNA (237 nucleotides) under uncultured Pseudomonadota bacterium. RNAcentral's name for it is "uncultured proteobacterium contains 16S-23S intergenic spacer region". Lineage: Bacteria; Pseudomonadati; Pseudomonadota. The record is from RNAcentral.
UCCCCGUUAUCCGAGGCAGUUUCCACGGCUGUCACCUACAUGUCAAACCCAGGUAAGGUUCUUCGCGUUGCGUCGAAUUAAACCACAUGCUCCACCGCUUGUGCAGGCCCCCGUCAAUUUCUUUGAGUUUUAACCUUGCGGCCGUACUCCCCAGGCGGAUGACUUAAUGCGUUAGCUGCGCCACCGAAAGCCCAUGGCCCCCGACAGCUAGUCAUCAUCGUUUACGGCGUGGACUAC